Molecule: ribosomal RNA, 355 nt
Filed under: uncultured bacterium
Lineage: Bacteria
Description: bacterial SSU rRNA
Rfam family: Bacterial small subunit ribosomal RNA
Source: RNAcentral
AACGAACGCUGGCGGCGUGGAUAAGACAUGCAAGUCGAACGGGACUAAAUCUGUAGCAAUACAGGUUUAGUUUAGUGGCGAACGGGUGCGUAACACGUGGGCAAUCUGCCGAGAAGUGGGGGAUAGCUCGCCGAAAGGCGAAUUAAUACCGCAUAUGAUCAGCUAAGACAUCUUAGCGACAUCAAAGCCGGGGUAACCUGGCGCUUCUUGAUGAGCCCGCGGCCUAUCAGCUAGUUGGUGAGGUAACGGCUCACCAAGGCUAUGACGGGUAGCUGGUCUGAGAGGACGACCAGUCACACUGGAACUGAGACACGGUCCAGACACCUACGGGUGGCAGCAGUCGAGAAUUUUUCUC